RNAcentral lists this transfer RNA (79 nucleotides) under Podarcis lilfordi (Lilford's wall lizard). RNAcentral's name for it is "tRNA.Lys". The stretch from base 14 to 71 matches the Rfam family "tRNA", at positions 8 to 63 of the family's 71-position model. Rfam says of the family: Transfer RNA (tRNA) molecules are approximately 80 nucleotides in length. Lineage: Eukaryota; Metazoa; Chordata; Lepidosauria; Squamata; Lacertidae. The record is from RNAcentral.
GCACAUGAAAGGAUAGCUCAGUUGGCAGAGUAUGAGACUCUUAACCUCAGGGUUGUGGGUUCAAGCUCCACAUUGGGCA